This 449-nucleotide ribosomal RNA is filed under the name uncultured bacterium. RNAcentral's name for it is "partial 16S ribosomal RNA". It matches the Rfam family "Bacterial small subunit ribosomal RNA", at positions 29 to 523 of the family's 1533-position model. The record is from RNAcentral.
AACGAACGCUGGCGGCAGGCUUAACACAUGCAAGUCGAGCGAGAUCUUCGGGUCUAGCGGCGGACGGGUGAGUAACGCGUGGGAACGUGCCCUUCUCUACGGAAUAGCCCCGGGAAACUGGGAGUAAUACCGUAUACGCCCUUUGGGGGAAAGAUUUAUCGGAGAAGGAUCGGCCCGCGUUGGAUUAGGUAGUUGGUGGGGUGAUGGCCCACCAAGCCGACGAUCCAUAGCUGGUUUGAGAGGAUGAUCAGCCACACUGGGACUGAGACACGGCCCAGACUCCUACGGGAGGCAGCAGUGGGGAAUCUUAGACAAUGGGGGCAACCCUGAUCUAGCCAUGCCGCGUGAGUGAUGAAGGCCUUAGGGCUGUAAAGCUCUUUCAGCUGGGAAGAUAAUGACGGUACCAGCAGAAGAAGCCCCGGCUAACUCCGUGCCAGCCGCCGCCGUAA